GCCAGGCAUGGAGGUGCACACCUGUAAUCCCAGCCACUCAGGAAGCUGAGGCAGGAGGAUCACAAGUUCAAGGCCAGCCUCAGCAACUUAGUGAGACCCUGUCUCAA
This 107-nucleotide small RNA is filed under the name Marmota monax (woodchuck). The record is from RNAcentral. Lineage: Eukaryota; Metazoa; Chordata; Mammalia; Rodentia; Sciuridae.